UUAAACUUAUGGCUACAUUUACCCGCCUAUUUCAAACCAAAUCAUUAUACUUGUAUUACAAAGACGGAGCCAAUUAAGGUCAAGGAGCUACUAACUUAAGACUCCUGGAUACUUGUAAUUUUGACCACAAAAUAGAAAAGUUAAAUCUGUCUCGAACAAAAUUUUGCAAGGAAUACAAUAGUUUUUCGAGCAAGAUACUGAGGUUAAGAAAUAGUAUCACACUCGAGAUACCGGGAAAAAGGGAAGUGUUGGGUUUAGGCCUUUUUUCCUUCUUAUGUGGAUGAAUAAAUGUCCAAGGUUUUGGGUCUUCCAUCCUUUCCUUUGUAGAUAAAAUUAGCUCAAAUUUGACAAGUUCACUUUUGCCUAGGUCUUAUUUUGAAGAGAAUCACAAGAGUUUGAGAGCAGUUAUAUAGAGAGAAAAGUGAGAAAGUGCAGAUUUUCACACAAGCCAUAUCAAUCAUUUUCAAAUCGCGAUUCUCGCUUCGUUUCUUGUCCGAUUGAGCUGAUUUUGGAUAGCGUGUUUCUUUCAGUUUAAUCUUUUGAUUGGGAACUAAGAGAGGGUGACUUGGGGUCCUGUAGAUCCGAUUUUAGCUCGUGAACAGUAGCUUGCGGUUUGGGUAUUUUAGCUCAUCUUAUUUCUCUAGUUUUUUGGUGCUAUCUUGUAGUUGUAUUGUUCACUGUUUGGCACUCUGUUGGUGACCAUUUUGAAGAAAACUUUUGUAACUCUUGUUUAAUAUAGUGGAGCUUUGAUAUUGUGGUUUUUACUCUUCACACCGAAGAAGUUUUCCACGUUAAAUUUGGCGUCUCUUGUGUUGAUUUAUUUUUCUUGCUUGGUUGAUUAGUUUGCUGCCCAAACUAUUUUAUUCUUGCAUUAUUUUGUCUUCUCUUGGUUCAAGUAGAAGAAAAAGUUUUGACUUGGGUUUCUUCCGCUAUCGCCUUUGUCGUGCACAUAUUUAUUUUGUGCUUGCUUUUCCCAACAAAUGGUAUCAGAGCAUUGAGUUGUUGUUGAUAUCUGUUUGAAUGACUAUCUAUUUGAAUGAUGGAGUCAAAUAUGAGCAAGCUGGUUUGUUUGAAUUGUAGUAAUUAUCAUACUAGGAAAGGCAUGAUGAAAGAUCUUCUAUUUGUCAAGAAAAUGCAUCUACCUGUUUUGCUUCUAAUAAACUCGAAUCUAUGAAUGAUGAGGAUUGGAAAUUUGAGCAUUUACAUGUUUGUGGCUAGAUCAGAAAAUGGGUUGAAGAUAAUGUUAGAAAUCACAUUGUGAAUGAGACACAUGCCAGAAUUUUGUGGGCAAGCUUGAGACACUGUAUGCUUCGAAGACUGGAACAAUAAAUUGUUUCUUUUGAAACAAUUGAUGAAUAUCGUGUAUAAAGAGGGCAACCCUAUUUCUGAUCAUAUUAAUGAUUUUCAAGGUGUUCUUGACCAGCUGUCUGGAAUGGGUGUAAAAUUUGAUAAAGAAAUUCAAGGACUAUGACUUCUUAAUA
This is a long non-coding RNA of Solanum pennellii, 1481 nucleotides long. RefSeq lists it as uncharacterized. The transcript is spliced from 2 exons. NCBI's taxonomy places the organism in Eukaryota, Viridiplantae, Streptophyta, Magnoliopsida, Solanales, Solanaceae. The record is from RefSeq and is a predicted model, not a curated record.